RNAcentral lists this transfer RNA (69 nucleotides) under Histeroidea sp. 2 KM-2017. RNAcentral's name for it is "tRNA-Gln". Lineage: Eukaryota; Metazoa; Arthropoda; Insecta; Coleoptera. The record is from RNAcentral.
UUCAUUUAAGUAUAAGAAGUACGCAGAUUUUUGAUAUCUGAGGGGAUAGUUUAAUUCUAUCAAAUGUAA